Molecule: long non-coding RNA, 697 nt
Organism: Micropterus dolomieu (smallmouth bass)
Lineage: Eukaryota; Metazoa; Chordata; Actinopteri; Centrarchiformes; Centrarchidae
Exons: 4
Source: RefSeq, a predicted model, not a curated record
GCUCGUUAACACCUGUGCAAGCACACUGACAUCUAAUCAAGAGGUGGAUUCUACUGCAGGAGUAGUUUUUUAAGCUUCUGUGGAUUCUUUUGACGGCUUUCACACUGUAAAAUAACGAGUUAUCACUAAUAAUUGAAACCAUCGCAACUGCUGUGAAUCUGAGCUCAGCACGACCGGUCGCCUGUGGAGGAAAAUGCAAACUUCCAAGUCCUCAACAGGCAACGCCGCUUUCCCAUUGGUCCCGUUCACUUCCUGUGGUUUGGUCACCUGCUCUGGGACCAGCAGCGACGAGCGGUUCACCUGCACGAUGAAAAGGAAACGGUUGCAGCCCCUCCUGGAUGACAAAUCCCUCCACCAGUUCUCAAUCCGACUGAGGAACUCCUUUCGGCUUGGCGUUGGAUAGUAAAUGCCCAGACAUUCAGGUGGAGUCACGGUUGGAUACGACACGCAAGACAGGGAGGACGUCGCUUGUGUGGAUGCGGUGAUGUGGCCGACUCUAAUCGAAGGCGUGAUCCAUUUCCAUCUCUUACACAACUAUGUUUCUCAGGGUUGUUUUUUUUUGUUGUUGCUGUGAGUUUACAAAAGUAUUGAUUACUGUACCUUAAUUCUGCAAAUGUAAAACAUAUUUAAGGCUUUUUGAGAGCCUGUGUGAGAAAAUAAAAGACAGCUGUGUGUUGAAUGAAGUUCAUCAGUGUGU